GUUGGCACAGAUUACCUUGGAAGAACAUUUCCUGUGUGUAGCUGUAGUCUCUGAAGUUGUUUUUGAGGACAAGGACAUUUAGACUUUUGCGAGAAGGAUGUGGAACUGUCCCUCUGACUCCAUGGACGUGUGUAAAGGAACGAAUGAAUGUGCGAAUGCCUCCAUCUUGUCUCCCUGUUCCCUCUCUCUGUGCGUGCUGGAGAAGGCACCUCUCACCCCAGCCCACUUCAGGUGUGCUGGUUGCCUCCGCUGACGCUGGGGCUGCCCCUUUGUGGGGCGAGCACAACGGUCCCAGCGCCACCUAGCGGCCAGGGAGCCUGGGAGUUGCGCGUCUCGUUUCCCAGUCCAUGGGAUCCGCGGACUACGCCACCUCGCAGAGUUCCGACGCUCUGGCCACUGCCUCCGUCUGUUUUGUUCUCUCCGGUCCAGAGAGUGCGGAGACUUCCGGGGAGCGAACGUGUACGGGUUUCCAGAGUAACCCCGACAACAGGCAGUGAGAUGGCAGCUCUGAGCAGCUUGCUCUAGAACCAACUGUGCGUCCUCCACUUGGACCAAUACCAAUGGGAGAAGCUGGCCAAGCUCUGAGAAGCCGUGCACACCCAAGGAGCAGAGAUGCCAUGGCUUUUUGGUGGUAUUGGCAGGAUGAUACCAGAGGCUAAAUGAUAAGAGCUGAAUGAAUUCUCCAGGCUCUAGCUGAGAGUUCCUCCUGUCUCCUUCAUGAAGCUGAGCUGGAAGCCUCAGAGCCUUCGCAUCAGAGGUGCCAGAGUCCCUGAGCAGUGGCCCUGUCCUGCUGGCUUUGGAUUGUCUGCCUGCAAGUUGGAUGGAUGCAGCCAGAGGCUGGGGUGAUGAACACGGCUUCCACUGGUGGGCAAAGUGAACUGGGGACCAUCCCCUGUCCUCCACGGGUCUCAACUUUGUCUGCUGGUAAAGGAGAGGUUAGAACUAGAAGUCUCAGGCUUCUGUCCGGCCUGGGGAUUCAAACACCUUUCAGAGCUGAGUUCUAUCAAUUUUCCCGUGUUGGCCCAGGCAAACCACUUUAUUAGCAGCCUCUACAAGGUGCCAAAUCCUGGCUUCUUCCAGUCCCUGGUUCUCAGUGCAGUC
This 1101-nucleotide long non-coding RNA is filed under the name Heterocephalus glaber (naked mole-rat). Its description in RNAcentral is "lncRNA (ENSHGLG00000027932.2)". Lineage: Eukaryota; Metazoa; Chordata; Mammalia; Rodentia; Bathyergidae. The record is from RNAcentral.